AAGUCGUAACAAGGUUUGGAUCAGCAAAGUCAAUUUCAACAGGAGGGCUCCUCUCGCUGACCUGCCUCCAUUCCUGGCGUUUCAGCGGGAACCUAUUUUACACUAUUCACCCCUUUUUUGCUAGUUGACUUUUAUAUGUUGCAUCUUUGCUUCGGCAACGGUGCACACGUUUAAUUAUUUGAACGUUAAAAAUACAACUCUUAGCAAUGGAUAUCUUGGUUCUC
RNAcentral lists this unclassified non-coding RNA (224 nucleotides) under fungal sp. RNAcentral's name for it is "partial internal transcribed spacer region". The record is from RNAcentral. Lineage: Eukaryota; Fungi.